GUAGUCAUAUGCUUGUCUCAAAGAUUAAGCCAUGCAUGUCUAAGUAUAAAUAAAUUUAUAUUGUGAAACUGCGAAUGGCUCAUUAAAUCAGUUAUGAUCUACGUGACAUAUUCAUUACUACUUGGAUAACCGUGGUAAUUCUAGAGCUAAUACAUGCAAAAAAACCCAGACUUACGAAUGGGUGCACUUAUUAGAUAAAGCCAACGCUGGGUAAAACCAGUUUCCCUUGGUGAUUCAUAAUAAUUAAGCGGAUCGCAUGGCCUUGUGCUAGCGACAGUCCACUCGAUUUUCUGCCCUAUCAUGGUUGAGAUUGUAAGAUAGAGGCUUACAAUGCCUACAACGGGUAACGGGGAAU
Molecule: ribosomal RNA, 355 nt
Filed under: uncultured eukaryote
Lineage: Eukaryota
Description: SSU rRNA
Rfam family: Eukaryotic small subunit ribosomal RNA
Source: RNAcentral